Molecule: ribosomal RNA, 491 nt
Filed under: uncultured bacterium
Lineage: Bacteria
Description: bacterial SSU rRNA
Rfam family: Bacterial small subunit ribosomal RNA
Source: RNAcentral
CGCUGGCGGCGUGCCUAAUACAUGCAAGUCGAACGAACGGAUAAAGAGCUUGCUCUUUUGAAGUCAGUGGCGGACGGGUGAGUAACACGUGGGUAACCUGCCUCACAGCUGGGGAUAACAUCGAGAAAUCGAUGCUAAUACCGAAUGUGCUGAACAUCAUAAGAUGUUCAAGUGAAAGACGGUUUCGGCUGUCACUGUGAGAUGGACCCGCGCUGGAUUAGCUAGUUGGUAAGGUAAUGGCUUACCAAGGCGACGAUCCAUAGCCGACCUGAGAGGGUGAUCGGCCACAUUGGGACUGAGACACGGCCCAAACUCCUACGGGAGGCAGCAGUAGGGAAUCUUCGGCAAUGGACGAAAGUCUGACCGAGCAACGCCGCGUGAGCGAAGAAGGCCUUCGGGUCGUAAAGCUCUGUUGUUAGAGAAGAACAUGGGUGAGAGUAACUGUUCACCCCUUGACGGUAUCUAACCAGAAAGCCACGGCUAACUACGUG